AUUGAACGCUGGCGGCAUGCCUUACACAUGCAAGUCGAACGGCAGCACGGGUGCUUGCACCUGGUGGCGAGUGGCGAACGGGUGAGUAAUACAUCGGAACGUACCUUAUCGUGGGGGAUAACGCGGCGAAAGCUGUGCUAAUACCGCAUACGCCCUGAGGGGGAAAGCGGGGGAUCGAAAGACCUCGCGCGAUUAGAGCGGCCGAUGCCUGAUUAGCUUGUUGGUGGGGUAAAAGCCCACCAAGGCGACGAUCAGUAGCUGGUCUGAGAGGACGAUCAGCCACACUGGGACUGAGACACGGCCCAGACUCCUACGGGAGGCAGCAGUGGGGAAUUUUGGACAAUGGGGGCAACACUGAUCCAGCAAUGCCGCGUGAGUGAAGAAGGCCUUCGGGUUGUAAAGCUCUUUUGUCAGGGAAGAAACACCGGCUCUAACACAGUCCGGGAAUGACGGUACCUGAAGAAUAAGCACCGGCUAACUACGUGCCAGCAGCCGCAGUAA
This 501-nucleotide ribosomal RNA is filed under the name uncultured bacterium. RNAcentral describes it as "partial 16S ribosomal RNA". It matches the Rfam family "Bacterial small subunit ribosomal RNA", at positions 29 to 523 of the family's 1533-position model. The record is from RNAcentral.